CCGGCUNGAGUGCGGUAGGGGAGACUGGAACUCCUGGUGUAGCGGUGGAAUGCGCAGAUAUCAGGAAGAACACCGGUGGCGAAGGCGGGUCUCUGGGCCGUUACUGACGCUGAGGAGCGAAAGCGUGGGGAGCGAACAGGAUUAGAUACCCUGGUAGUCCACGCCGUAAACGUUGGGUACUAGGUGUGGGGGGCCUUUUCCGGNUCUUCCGCGCCGUAGCUAACGCAUUAAGUGCCCCGCCUGGGGAGUGCGGCCGCAAGGCUAAAACUCAAAGGAAUUGACGGGGGCCCGCACAAGCGGCGGAGCAUGCGGAUUAAUUCGAUGCAACGCGAAGAACCUUACCAAGGCUUGACAUGUGCCGGUCGGCUCCGGAGACGGGGCUUCCUCCUUGUGGGGCCGGUUCACAGGUGGUGCAUGGUUGUCGUCAGCUCGUGUCGUGAGAUGUUGGGUUAAGUCCCGCAACGAGCGCGACCCUUGUCCCGUGUUGCCAGCACGUUGUGGUGGGGACUCGCGGGAGACUGCCGGGGUCAACUCGGAGGAAGGUGGGAUGACGUCAAAUCAUCAUGCCCCUUAUGUCUUGGGCUUCACGCAUGCUACAAUGGCCGGUACAGAGGGCUGCGAUACCGUGAGGUGGAGCGAAUCCCUUAAAGCCGGUCUCAGUUCGGAUCGGUGUCUGCA
This 678-nucleotide ribosomal RNA is filed under the name uncultured bacterium. Its description in RNAcentral is "bacterial SSU rRNA". It matches the Rfam family "Bacterial small subunit ribosomal RNA", at positions 637 to 1309 of the family's 1533-position model. The record is from RNAcentral.